RNAcentral lists this ribosomal RNA (301 nucleotides) under uncultured bacterium. RNAcentral's name for it is "partial 16S ribosomal RNA". It matches the Rfam family "Bacterial small subunit ribosomal RNA", at positions 509 to 809 of the family's 1533-position model. The record is from RNAcentral.
CAGUCGCCACGGUAAUACGGAGGGAGCUAGCGUUGUUCGGAAUUACUGGGCGUAAAGCGCGCGUAGGCGGUUACUCAAGUCAGAGGUGAAAGCCCGGGGCUCAACCCCGGAACUGCCUUUGAAACUAGGUGACUAGAAUCUUGGAGAGGUCAGUGGAAUUCCGAGUGUAGAGGUGAAAUUCGUAGAUAUUCGGAAGAACACCAGUGGCGAAGGCGACUGACUGGACAAGUAUUGACGCUGAGGUGCGAAAGCGUGGGGAGCAAUCAGGAUUAGAUACCCCUGUAGUCCCUGUCUCUUAUCC